AUUGAACGCUGGCGGCAGGCCUAACACAUGCAAGUCGAGCGGAUGAAGGGAGCUUGCUCCUGGAUUCAGCGGCGGACGGGUGAGUAAUGCCUAGGAAUCUGCCUGGUAGUGGGGGAUAACGUCCGGAAACGGGCGCUAAUACCGCAUACGUCCUGAGGGAGAAAGUGGGGGAUCUUCGGACCUCACGCUAUCAGAUGAGCCUAGGUCGGAUUAGCUAGUUGGUGGGGUAAAGGCCUACCAAGGCGACGAUCCGUAACUGGUCUGAGAGGAUGAUCAGUCACAGUGGGACUGAGGCACGGUCCAGACUCCUACGGGAGGCAGCAGUGGGGAAUAUUGGACAAUGGGCGAAAGCCUGAUCCAGCCAUGCCGCGUGUGUGAAGAAGGUCUUCGGAUUGUAAAGCACUUUAAGUUGGGAGGAAGGGCAGUAAGUUAAUACCUUGCUGUUUUGACGUUACCAACAGAAUAAGCACCGGCUAACUUCGUG
RNAcentral lists this ribosomal RNA (484 nucleotides) under uncultured bacterium. Its description in RNAcentral is "partial 16S ribosomal RNA". It matches the Rfam family "Bacterial small subunit ribosomal RNA", at positions 30 to 507 of the family's 1533-position model. The record is from RNAcentral.